CCUACGGGGGGCUGCAGUGAGGAAUAUUGGUCAAUGGUCGGGAGACUGAACCAGCCAAGCCGCGUGAGGGAUGAAGGUACAGAGUAUCGUAAACCUCUUUUGUCAGGGAACAACGGCGGGGACGCGUCCCCGGAUGAGUGUACCUGAAGAAAAAGCAUCGGCUAACUCCGUGCCAGCAGCCGCGGUAAUACGGAGGAUGCGAGCGUUAUCCGGAUUUAUGGGGUUUAAAGGGUGCGCAGGCGGUUUGUUAAGUCAGCGGUCAAAGCCCGGGGGUCAACCCCGGGCCGGCCGUUGAAACUGGCAGUCUCGAGUUGGAGAGAAGUAUGCGGAAUGCGCGGUGUAGCGGUGAAAUGCAUAGAUAUCGCGCAGAACUCCGAUUGCGAAGGCAGCAUGCCGGCUCCACACUGACGCUGAGGCACGAAAGCGUGGGUAUCGAACAGGAUUAGAUACCCCAGUAGUC
This 460-nucleotide ribosomal RNA is filed under the name uncultured bacterium. Its description in RNAcentral is "partial 16S ribosomal RNA". It matches the Rfam family "Bacterial small subunit ribosomal RNA", at positions 338 to 795 of the family's 1533-position model. The record is from RNAcentral.